This 207-nucleotide unclassified non-coding RNA is filed under the name uncultured Sebacina. RNAcentral describes it as "sequence contains ITS2". Lineage: Eukaryota; Fungi; Basidiomycota; Agaricomycetes; Sebacinales; Sebacinaceae. The record is from RNAcentral.
GUACUCUCACACUCCUCUGAUCCUUUUGGAUUCGGGGAGCGGUGGACUUGGGUGUUUGCUGCUUUCCUUGUGGCUCACCUCAAAUGCGUCAGUGCACCUCUUGGUUGGACAUAGUACGGCGUGAUAAGUGUCUUCGCCGGCACCUCGGAAGAGGGUGGCCGAUCGAGAGCUCUGUGCUUUCAAACCGUCUUCGGACACUUUCUGACA